AUGAUGAUGCUACCAGGCAGGCAUUAUUGGGUCUUCAACGUCAACUUGAGGGACGAACGUUUUGAAGUUCUUGAUUCAAGCAGGAAGCUAGACGACAUUGAGCUGAUGAACACCGCCUCUACCAUUGCGGGGGCAGUACGCCAGCUAUGGAGGAAGUAUUACCCAAAGCACAACAUCGAGCACUUCCAGAUUAUUGACAUUGACGUACCGAAGCAGCUCGGCAACAAUGAGUGUGGGAUGUUCGCACUGCUUAACGCCACUGAGUGGAACGGUAGCCAACUGCCCAACUACGAACCCAAGGAAGUACUCAACAUCAGGAAGAAGCUGGCAUAUGAUUGGGUCACCAGCACGCACAACUCCGCCCCAUGGAGGAAGUUGCUCAGAUACGACAAGGACUAG
This 399-nucleotide ribosomal RNA is filed under the name Triticum aestivum (bread wheat). Its description in RNAcentral is "partial small subunit ribosomal RNA". Lineage: Eukaryota; Viridiplantae; Streptophyta; Magnoliopsida; Poales; Poaceae. The record is from RNAcentral.